Molecule: unclassified non-coding RNA, 3721 nt
Filed under: Hevea brasiliensis (rubber tree)
Lineage: Eukaryota; Viridiplantae; Streptophyta; Magnoliopsida; Malpighiales; Euphorbiaceae
Source: RNAcentral
GUUUUGAACGGGGAACGAUGGCUCUGGUGGCUCUGGCCUCUGAGGUCUGAGCUUGAUGAUAAUCAUUCAUCAAUAACGGCAUAAGCCAAGAAAUUCGAGAGAGUGGGGCAAUUUGGUUGGAUUUUUAUGUAAAUUGGGAUUGGGGUUUCCUCCUUAAUUAGAAUGAAGAAGAUAAGGAUGAUGACGAUUAUGAGCAGCAUAGAGCGAAGAAUGGCAGCGGCGUGGCACAAGAAGUACGUGAUAAGAAGAGCUAUAAGCACCCAAAUUCUAAUGUCUCCUCAAUCUCUCGUUUCUCUUGACCUACCUGAGAUUUGGACUGCAGCCGCAGAUAAUCUUCGCCCUCCUACUUCCCUAAACUGCUCCAAUGAGCAGGAUGCUGUUGUAAUAGACGGGAAGUUAAUUGCAGAGGACAUUAGGUCUACAAUAGCUACUGAAGUAAGGAGGAUGAAGGAAUCAAUUGGAAAAGUUCCUGGCUUGGCCGUUAUUCUGGUGGGCCAGAGAAGGGACUCCCAAACUUAUGUUCGCAACAAGAUAAAAGCUUGUGAAGAGGCUGGAAUCAAGUCUCUUUUUCACGAACUGCCUGAGGAUUGCCCAGAAGAUGCAGUUCUUAGUGUUGUAUCUAGUUUUAAUGAAGACCCAACUAUUCAUGGUAUUCUUGUGCAGCUUCCCCUACCCCAAGUAAUUUCCAUAACCAUGAUAUAAAUCUUAUAGUCAUUGCUAUAGGUGACCUGAAUGGAAAAUAUAUGAAUGUCUUGAUGUUUACGGACUUCUUAUAUAUAAUCAUCCAAAUUUGUGGUUUGCAUAUCUGGAAUUGAAAUCAAAACAAUUUUAAGUGCUAUUACUUCCAACAUCUUGACUGUUCAUAGUUUUAUUCUUGACUUCCAUGUAUUUGACCAGUAAUUACUUUGUUUGAACUUGUUUUUGUAUGUCAUUGGACAAAUAAUUACUUUUACUUUAUUGUCAGUAUCUACUAGACAACUUUUUUUUGUAGCGUGGUAAUGUUCUUAGCUGCUUAUAUAUAGCUGUGAAAUAGUUCAGGAUUUGAUGCAAGAGUAUUUGAGAAGUUCAUGUUGUAUGGAUGACUUAAAAAACUUCUCUGGGACAGCAUUUGGAUGAGGUGAAGAUUUUGAAUGCGCUGAGUUUGGAAAAAGAUGUAGAUGGCUUCCAUCCAAUGAAUAUGGGAAAUCUUGCCAUGAGAGGAAGAGAACCAUUGUUUAUCCCUUGCACUCCAAAGGGUUGCAUUGAGUUAUUGUUCAGGUUUGGCGUGGAGAUCAUGGGGAAGAAUGCUGUGGUUAUUGGGAGAAGCAAUGUUGUUGGUUUGCCCACAUCAUUGUUAUUGCAGAGGUACCAUGCAACUGUUAGUGUUGUACAUGCUUUGACAAAUAAUCCAGAGGAGAUAACCAGUGAAGCUGAUAUUGUGGUUACAGCUGCUGGAGUGCCCAAUCUGGUCCGUAGCAAUUGGUUAAAGCCUGGUGCAGUAGUUAUUGAUGUGGGAACUUGCCCAAUUGAGGAUCCCAGCAGUGAAUUUGGUUAUCGUCUUGUGGGAGAUGUUUGCUAUGAAGAAGCAGUGAAGGUGGCAUCUGCCAUCACCCCUGUGCCAGGAGGUGUUGGACCUAUGACAAUUGCUAUGCUGCUGUCCAACACUCUUGAUUCUGCCAAGCGGGCAUAUGAAUUUGUUUGACCAUUGAUACGUUAUAUAAAAUAUUUGGAAACAUAUUUAUGUUUCCAGCAAAUAUAGUUUUUAACAUAUUAUUGCAUUUGAUUUUGUAUUUUGUUGAUUCAGUGGAUACGUGCUCAAUGGUUGGCUGAUACGUGGUUAUGAACAUUUAUCUCACUUGAAUGGCUCCACUUUAGGUUUGGGAGAUUGAAAACUCAUUCUGAAUUCCAGUACCAAGCUACAGAUGUAUCCCCAGCCAUCAAUUGUGCAACUAAUGCAGUGCAGAGUACCCUUUCGGAUGCCCAAGCAAAUUGGAAAAGGGAAAUAAUAAAAGAAAAUUUGCACUAUGCAGUCGUUGCUCUAGAGUCUAUAACUUGUUACAAAUGGUGCUCGCGCAUCCAUUGCAGCAGUAAGAAGAAUGGAUUAUGCUGAUUGCCAGGAUGUUACAGCCAACAAGGAUCCUGUCAUCCUUCCACUUCAUUUGUGGAUUGCAUUGGUUCCACAACUGGAGGUAUACAGUCCACCUUGUAGCGGACGACCUAAUGAAAUGAAGCGAUGUUAGAAGUAUGUUGAUAAUCUUGUAGUUGAUCUAACACGAACCACUCAAACUCCCACUAGUCAUGUAAAGGGUGGGAGAUGGUAAUCUUAAAGAAAGCUGACAUAAACUGUCCAAAUGAAUCCUUCUAUAAGUAUAGUCCUACCUUUUUGAAAAAUGCUGAAUAUGAAUUAUCCCAAAUGAGCUUAUAGUUACCAGCCAUACAUGUGCAGAAGUUUCCCUGUAAAAAUAUGAGGGAAAUUGAUGAGACUUGAAAAGCAUUCACAUUAUAUUCCAAGGCAUAGUAAAACAAAAAUUCCAUACAGUAACUCACUUGGUCAGACUCAUAACGACGGUAAGGUAAUAUUAGCUGAAGAAUCAAAGUUUACAUACAAAAACAAAAUAGAUAAAUUAAUCAAAGGUUACAAACCAAAACUAAAAAUAAAACAAAAGAUCUGGGAAACCAAGAAACUACUCAAUUGGAGCAUAAAAAAUGAAAAUUUUGUGCAAUUGAAAAUCAACUUAGAACGCUAGACACAGUACAUGCUUUCAAGUUUAACUUACAGUCUUUUGCCCAGAAGGAUCCACAUACUCCACACUAAAUCCAACAUCCAAGUUUAUCUUGCCUUGUAUCAACGAGAAAUCCCAAGCUAUGUAUGAGUUUAUUGAGUCCACCACCAAUGAAACCUAUAAAGGAAAUCCAAUUAACAAUGUCAAAUAUUUAAAAACAUGUACAAAAAAUUUCCAAACACCAUUAAUAGCUAAAGAAAUCAAUUUUUGAAAAGAGGCAAAAACAGAUCUGAAAAUUUAAACCUAUUUUAAACAUAUGCUGGACUGAUUCCAGUCUAACCUGAAAGAAUAUUAUACAAAUUUGAAUCUUCCCACUGCUUGGAUUUUACAAGGGACAAAGUCUAGCAGGUAAUUUUGAUAAUCUAUAUUGCCAUAACCAAGAAUGAGAUUUCUAAAUGCUAAUUUGAUUUAAGAAAGCUAUCGUUCUUGAAGAACUCAAGGCAUUUAAUUGUACUAACUGUUUAGUUAUUAGUGCUUAAUUAUAGUUGAAAGGAAAUGUAUCUUCAUUAAAAACCAAAAUCUGUUGAACUGUAGUAGGUAGCUCAUCAAGCAAUUCAUUAUACUUUCUUUUCCUCUUUGAUAUUUACAGAUUCCCUAAUCCACAGCUGUUGGAUUCCUGCAUGCGAUGCAACCAGUGCUACAAAAAUACAUAUUUGGGAUAACUAGCAGAUUAUUUACAAUCUCUUUUCCAUGUUUUCACCAUUGUGCUGCACUUGGAAAAUAAUUUUACCAGCAAACACGUUUGCGUAAAAGCUUCAUGUUCUUCAUGGACAUGCAUGAAAAUACAUCUUCAUUUCUAUCAAGAAGCACAUUUUCAUGAAGUAGAAUUCCAGCGUACAUGCAUAUAACAGGAAUGAAAAUUCUUCUAUAUGGAAAUAUAAAUAUCUGCAAAUAAACUUCUAAACAAACCUCAUAGGUUUUCCCAGCUGGAACACUUAUCUCUUUGAAUUCAUCAUUUU